Molecule: ribosomal RNA, 304 nt
Filed under: uncultured bacterium
Lineage: Bacteria
Description: partial 16S ribosomal RNA
Rfam family: Bacterial small subunit ribosomal RNA
Source: RNAcentral
CAGCAGCCGCCACGGUAAUACAGAGGGUGCGAGCGUUAAUCGGAUUUACUGGGCGUAAAGCGUGCGUAGGCGGCUUUUUAAGUCGGAUGUGAAAUCCCUGAGCUUAACUUAGGAAUUGCAUUCGAUACUGGGAAGCUAGAGUAUGGGAGAGGAUGGUAGAAUUCCAGGUGUAGCGGUGAAAUGCGUAGAGAUCUGGAGGAAUACCGAUGGCGAAGGCAGCCAUCUGGCCUAAUACUGACGCUGAGGUACGAAAGCAUGGGGAGCAAACAGGAUUAGAUACCCCUGUAGUCCCUGUCUCUUAUAC